This 488-nucleotide ribosomal RNA is filed under the name uncultured bacterium. Its description in RNAcentral is "partial 16S ribosomal RNA". It matches the Rfam family "Bacterial small subunit ribosomal RNA", at positions 28 to 507 of the family's 1533-position model. The record is from RNAcentral.
GACGAACGCUGGCGGCGUGCUUAACCCAUGCAAGUCGAACGGAAAGGCCCUGCUUUUGUGGGGUGCUCGAGUGGCGAACGGGUGAGUAACACGUGAGUAACCUGCCCUUGACUUUGGGAUAACUUCAGGAAACUGGGGCUAAUACCGGAUAGGAGCUCCUGCUGCAUGGUGGGGGUUGGAAAGUUUCGGCGGUUGGGGAUGGACUCGCGGCUUAUCAGCUUGUUGGUGGGGUAGUGGCUUACCAAGGCUUUGACGGGUAGCCGGCCUGAGAGGGUGACCGGCCACAUUGGGACUGAGAUACGGCCCAGACUCCUACGGGAGGCAGCAGUGGGGAAUAUUGGACAAUGGGCGCAAGCCUGAUCCAGCCAUACCGCGUGGGUGAAGAAGGCCUUCGGGUUGUAAAGCCCUUUUGUUGGGAAAGAAAAGCAGCAGGUUAAUACCCCGCUGUUCUGACGGUACCCAAAGAAUAAGCACCGGCUAACUUCGUG